This 434-nucleotide ribosomal RNA is filed under the name uncultured bacterium. Its description in RNAcentral is "partial 16S ribosomal RNA". It matches the Rfam family "Bacterial small subunit ribosomal RNA", at positions 29 to 508 of the family's 1533-position model. The record is from RNAcentral.
AACGAACGCUGGCGGCAUGCCUAACACAUGCAAGUCGAACGAGACCUUCGGGUCUAGUGGCGCACGGGUGCGUAACGCGUGGGAACCUGCCCUUAGGUUCGGAAUAACUCCCCGAAAGGGGUGCUAAUACCGGAUAAUGUCUUCGGACCAAAGAUUUAUCGCCUUUGGAUGGGCCCGCGUUGGAUUAGCUAGUUGGUAGGGUAAAAGCCUUCCAAGGCGACGAUCCAUAGCUGGUCUGAGAGGAUGAUCAGCCACACUGGGACUGAGACACGGCCCAGACUCCUACGGGAGGCAGCAGUGGGGAAUAUUGGACAAUGGGCGAAAGCCUGAUCCAGCAAUGCCGCGUGAGUGAUGAAGGCCUUAGGGUUGUAAAGCUCUUUUACCCGGGAUGAUAAUGACAGUACCGGGAGAAUAAGCUCCGGCUAACUCCGUGC